AUAAAAAUGCUCUAGAACAAUAAUAUAAAACGUAAAAUACAAAAUUUUAAAAUAUGUUUAUAUAUAUUUUAAAGAAAAUUUGGGCAGUAUUUCGGCAUAGUUAGUCCUCCCAAAAAUACCCAAACUCAACAAAAAUACUCAAUAAGCUGUAAAUAUUAUUUAAAUCAACCUAUGAAAAUCAUUAAUCCAAAAAGAAAUAUAAAACCCCAUUGAUUGGAUCUAACUAAAAUAUAACCCAUUUUUAUCCUCAAAUCACAAAAAUCACUAUUAAAAGGUAGAGAAAGGAAAUGGUAUCGUAAAAAUUUGAAGAAAAGGGACAAAACUCACUUACCCAAUUUUGGAGCCUCAAGAAGAAAUUAUUGAAUUUCUGAACAGGAUGUAGGUUUAAUCAGGAUCUAGCGGAGGAUUUCAGAAGUUUAUGGGUUGAUUGGGUUAAGAAGGAGGAGAUUUGGAUUAAAAGAGGAUUUUUUAAAAAAAAAAAAACUUACAGAGCAAAUGGAGGAGGAAGACGGGCUCUGUUUCGGGAAUGUUUCGGGACAUUCCCGAAACCAGAGCUUUAAUGCUCUCUUUCCUCUUUUUUUUUUUUUUAUAUGGGCCUGGGCCUGGGCACACAUAUUCACAUACUACAGAAUCCCCAACUGGAGUACUCACAGCUAAUCCACAGUCUAAGGAUUUGAAUUCUCUAUCAGCAUGCUUAGAGAAGGAUUGAGAUAUGAAAGAGUGAGUAGAACCAGGAUCUAUGAGAAUCAAAUAAUAAAAAUGCUCUAGAACAAUAAUAUAAAACGUAAAAUACGAAAUUUUAAAAUAUUUUUAUAUAUAUUUUUAAGAAAAUUUGGGCAGUAUUUCGGCAUAGUUAGUCCUCCCAAAAAUACCCAAACUCAACAAAAAUACUCAAUAAGCUGUAAAUAUUAUUUAAAUCAACCUAUGAAAAUCAUUACUCCAAAAAGAAAUAUAAAACCCCAUUGAUAUCCUCAAAUCACAAAAAUCAUUAUUAAAAGGUAGAGAAAGUAAAUUAUAUCGUAAAAAUUUGAAUAAAAGGGACAAAACUCACUUACCCAAUUUUGGAGCCUCAAGAAGAAAUUAUUGAAUUUCUGAACAGGAUGUAGGUUUAAUCAGGAUCUAGCGGAGGAUUUCAGAAGUUUAUGGGUUGAUUGGGUUAAGAAGGAGGAGAUUUGGAUUAAAAGAGGAUUUUUUUAAAAAAAAAACUUACAGAGCAAAUGCUCUGUUUCUGGAGGAGGAAGACGGGCUC
RNAcentral lists this long non-coding RNA (1249 nucleotides) under Manihot esculenta (cassava). RNAcentral describes it as "long non-coding RNA (MESC_LNC001342)". The record is from RNAcentral. Lineage: Eukaryota; Viridiplantae; Streptophyta; Magnoliopsida; Malpighiales; Euphorbiaceae.